Molecule: ribosomal RNA, 460 nt
Filed under: uncultured bacterium
Lineage: Bacteria
Description: partial 16S ribosomal RNA
Rfam family: Bacterial small subunit ribosomal RNA
Source: RNAcentral
CCUACGGGGGGCAGCAGUGAGGAAUAUUGGUCAAUGGGAGAGAUCCUGAACCAGCCAAGCCGCGUGAGGGAAGACGGCCCUAUGGGUUGCAAACCUCUUUUGUCGGAGAACAAAACCCGGGACGUGUCCCGGACUGCGUGUAUCCGAAGAAAAAGCAUCGGCUAACUCCGUGCCAGCAGCCGCGGUAAUACGGAGGCUGCGAGCGUUAUCCGGAUUUACUGGGUGUAAAGGGCGUGUAGGCGGGCAUGCAAGCCAGAAGUGAAAUCUGGGGGCUUAACCCCCAAACUGCUGUUGGAACUGCGUGUCUUGAGUGAUGGAGAGGCAGGCGGAAUGCCUGGUGUAGCGGUGAAAUGCAUAGAUAUUGGGAAGAACACCAGUGGCGAAGGCAGCCUGCUGGACAUUAACUGACGCUGAGGCGCGAAAGCGUGGGGAGCGAACAGGAUUAGAUACCCGAGUAGUC